Molecule: long non-coding RNA, 1044 nt
Filed under: Parus major (Great Tit)
Lineage: Eukaryota; Metazoa; Chordata; Aves; Passeriformes; Paridae
Description: lncRNA (ENSPMJG00000013888.1)
Source: RNAcentral
CUAACAUUCCCCCAGAUACUUUCAUUUGUCACCCUGUCUUUUAAAUUUUGGCUGUAGUAGCAAUGUUUCAGAGUGAAAUCAAGUGAAAGAAAAUUAUUUCAAUUUUAAAUAAAUUUUUUUAAAUCCCAACAGCCCUUUUUAAGGUUGAAUUGAAAGACCUCAAACAGUCUACUUGAUUUUUCAUACUCUGAAACAAUAUACAAGAUGGGAACUAUGCUAUCCUUAUCAAUGAAUCUAUGAGUGUGUAUUUUUAGCUAUUUUGAGAUAGUUGCUUGGGUUUUGUUUUCUUUUUUUUUAUUAUUUUCUUUUUUUAUUUUUUUUUUUUUGUCCAGAGGAGUUACCAAUAUCUGUCAGAAGUUCCAGGAGCGCCAGCGUAAUAAAGCAAUAUCUUUAAGAUUGAAAUAGUUCAGGAUUCCAACUAUGAAAAAAAACUUCCUUCAGAGGCAGUUUUAUACUGUGUUUUCAGUCUUAUCAAAAUACAGUUGAACCUAUCACUUUUUAAGAGCUAUUUGAAUGUGUAAAGCUGAGCACAUAUGUGUAUGUAAUAUCUCUCCCUUGAACAGAAGCUUUACUUUUCUUGAUGUCUCUGGGUCCAUCACAGAAUUUCUGAAACCUUCACUAUGCUGGUAUUCAUCGUGAAUAAUUUUCUCAGAAAAGUAAUUCUUGUCUUCCAACUUCUCUAAUGGUGGGCAUUAUCAGAGCUCAGAGGGGAGAGAAGUUAUUCUGAGGACCUCACGUAUCUCUGCAUCAACAGUGGAAUGCCAGCAUGGAGUAUUCUAAAUGGAUGAGUCACCGCAGCAGACAUAGAAGAUUUUCAUUCUAAGACAUUGAAGCCAUUGUAACAACUUUGGAUUUUAAUACUCUGAAGAAGUCUACUACAUGGAAGAUAUAACAUUAGAAAAGCAGACUGUUAUAAAGAGCACCUGUACCAGACCCAUGGUGACAUUCAGCUUGUUUCAAUCCUUACUGAAGCCACUGGAACGCCAUGCAGGAGCACAGAUGCUUUCUCCACAGAUCUUCCUGAAAUAUGGAGGUACAUAUUAA